RNAcentral lists this ribosomal RNA (253 nucleotides) under uncultured bacterium. RNAcentral describes it as "partial 16S ribosomal RNA". It matches the Rfam family "Bacterial small subunit ribosomal RNA", at positions 524 to 776 of the family's 1533-position model. The record is from RNAcentral.
UACAGAGGUCUCAAGCGUUGUUCGGAAUCACUGGGCGUAAAGGGUGCGUAGGUGGCCAGGUAAGUUUGAUGUGAAAGCUCGGAGCUUAACUCCGAAAUGGCAUUGAAUACUAUCUGGCUUGAGGGUCGGAGGGGAGACUGGAAUUCUCGGUGUAGCAGUGAAAUGCGUAGAUAUCGAGAGGAACACCAGUGGCGAAGGCGAGUCUCUGGACGACACCUGACACUGAGGCACGAAAGCUAGGGGAGCAAACAGG